GGUGAUAUAGCCAAGUGGUUAAGGCGAAGGUCUGCAAAACCUUUAUCCUCGGUUCAAAUCCGAGUAUCACCU
Molecule: transfer RNA, 72 nt
Filed under: Melghiribacillus thermohalophilus
Lineage: Bacteria; Bacillati; Bacillota; Bacilli; Caryophanales; Bacillaceae
Rfam family: tRNA
About the family: Transfer RNA (tRNA) molecules are approximately 80 nucleotides in length. Their secondary structure includes four short double-helical elements and three loops (D, anti-codon, and T loops). Further hydrogen bonds mediate the characteristic L-shaped molecular structure. tRNAs have two regions of fundamental functional importance: the anti-codon, which is responsible for specific mRNA codon recognition, and the 3' end, to which the tRNAs corresponding amino acid is attached (by aminoacyl-tRNA synthetases). tRNAs cope with the degeneracy of the genetic code in two manners: having more than one tRNA (with a specific anti-codon) for a particular amino acid; and 'wobble' base-pairing, i.e. permitting non-standard base-pairing at the 3rd anti-codon position.
Source: Rfam by way of RNAcentral